RNAcentral lists this ribosomal RNA (767 nucleotides) under uncultured bacterium. RNAcentral describes it as "bacterial SSU rRNA". It matches the Rfam family "Bacterial small subunit ribosomal RNA", at positions 8 to 763 of the family's 1533-position model. The record is from RNAcentral.
AGAGUUUGAUCCUGGCUCAGAGUGAACGCUGGCGGUAGGCCUAACACAUGCAAGUCGAACGGCAGCACAGUAAGAGCUUGCUCUUACGGGUGGCGAGUGGCGGACGGGUGAGGAAUACAUCGGAAUCUACUUUUUCGUGGGGGAUAACGUAGGGAAACUUACGCUAAUACCGCAUACGACCUACGGGUGAAAGCAGGGGAUCUUCGGACCUUGCGCGAUUGAAUGAGCCGAUGUCGGAUUAGCUAGUUGGCGGGGUAAAGGCCCACCAAGGCGACGAUCCGUAGCUGGUCUGAGAGGAUGAUCAGCCACACUGGAACUGAGACACGGUCCAGACUCCUACGGGAGGCAGCAGUGGGGAAUAUUGGACAAUGGGCGCAAGCCUGAUCCAGCCAUACCGCGUGGGUGAAGAAGGCCUUCGGGUUGUAAAGCCCUUUUGUUGGGAAAGAAAUCCAGCUGGUUAAUACCCGGUUGGGAUGACGGUACCCAAAGAAUAAGCACCGGCUAACUUCGUGCCAGCAGCCGCGGUAAUACGAAGGGUGCAAGCGUUACUCGGAAUUACUGGGCGUAAAGCGUGCGUAGGUGGUCGUUUAAGUCUGUUGUGAAAGCCCUGGGCUCAACCUGGGAACUGCAGUGGAAACCGGACGACUAGAGUGUGGUAGAGGGUAGCGGAAUUCCUGGUGUAGCAGUGAAAUGCGUAGAGAUCAGAGGAACAUCCAUGGCGAAAGCAGCUACCUGGACCAACACUGACACUGAGGCACGAAAGCGUG